UUCAUUGAUACUUGUGUAAUGUGUUACAAUUCUACUGACAAAAUUUGUCCUUUCCUGUGUGUCCUGGUUGUGUCCUCACACACCUGAGAGCUCUGCUGCUGAACCAAGUCAUCUAAAGGGAACUUUCCAAAAAGGGAGCUGUGCUCUGAAUGACUCCAACUAGCUUCUCUCCUCUGUUCUCACGUUGCCAAAACCCAAAACAUACUCUAAUGCUGGCAGCCUAACAACAGUGAUAUUAGAAAGGAUGAACAGUUGUUCUUGAACCAUUUUCCAGUGUGUUGAGCACAAAUAACCUCUCAAUCAAGAGCGAAGGAACACAACCUGUUUUGGUAGCAGAUCAGUGUCUCCAGUGUCAAAGCAUGUCUCCAAUCUCAUCUGUUCCAGGGGCAGUUGGUGCCG
This is a long non-coding RNA of Lagopus muta (rock ptarmigan), 399 nucleotides long. RefSeq lists it as uncharacterized. The record is from RefSeq and is a predicted model, not a curated record. The transcript is spliced from 3 exons. NCBI's taxonomy places the organism in Eukaryota, Metazoa, Chordata, Aves, Galliformes, Phasianidae.